This 459-nucleotide ribosomal RNA is filed under the name uncultured bacterium. Its description in RNAcentral is "partial 16S ribosomal RNA". It matches the Rfam family "Bacterial small subunit ribosomal RNA", at positions 338 to 795 of the family's 1533-position model. The record is from RNAcentral.
CCUACGGGAGGCAGCAGUGAGGAAUAUUGGUCAAUGGGCGCGAGCCUGAACCAGCCAAGUCGCGUGAGGGAAGACGGUCCUAUGGAUUGUAAACCUCUUUUGUCGGGGAGCAAAAGACGCCACGCGUUGCGUUCCGAGAGUACCCGAAGAAAAAGCAUCGGCUAACUCCGUGCCAGCAGCCGCGGUAAUACGGGGGAUGCGAGCGUUGUCCGGAUUUAUUGGGUUUAAAGGGUGCGCAGGCGGAAGAUCAAGUCAGCGGGAAAAUUGAGAGGCUCAACCUCUUCGAGCCGUUGAAACUGGUUUUCUUGAGUGAGCGAGAAGUAUGCGGAAUGCGUGGUGUAGCGGUGAAAUGCAUAGAUAUCACGCAGAACUCCGAUUGCGAAGGCAGCAUACCGGCGCUCAACUGACGCUCAUGCACGAAAGUGUGGGUAUCGAACAGGAUUAGAUACCCGGGUAGUC